This 753-nucleotide unclassified non-coding RNA is filed under the name Hevea brasiliensis (rubber tree). The record is from RNAcentral. Lineage: Eukaryota; Viridiplantae; Streptophyta; Magnoliopsida; Malpighiales; Euphorbiaceae.
AUCUCAUUUGUUCUCUCUUGCUAUAAGUCUUGCAUUUUUCUAACACCAAGGGCGGCUUCCAUUUUAUAUUCACAAGCUUCUUUUGUCCUAUUGCUUGCUCUCUUCCAUUAUAUAACUAGCUUAUCUCAAACCCCUUCUCUUCACCCCUUCACUUUAAGUUCUUGAGAUAAGCUAAGAGGGGUAAUUAAAGAUGAUCAAGUUAAGGUCAAAGAGGUUUUUCAGAGGAAGUUUCAAGCAUGGUGGUAAAGGAAGUGACAAAGCAGGGACUUGUGGAGGCCUGAGUGAAAUCAAAUGGGAGCUUAGGCCUGGAGGCAUGCUUGUUCAAAAAAGAGAAAGUGAAGAUAGUGUUGGAGAGUUGAUUACAGUUAGAGUCUCAACUCUUUCUCAAUAUCAUGACAUUUCCAUUGAAGCAACUUCAACUUUUGGGGAAUUGAAGAUGGUAUUGUCAUUGGUAAGUGGGUUGGAGCCAAGAGAGCAGAGGCUAUUGUUCAAAGGAAAAGAGAGAGAAGACAAUGAAUACUUACACAUGGUAGGUGUUAGGGACAAGGACAAGGUGUUCUUGUUAGAAGAUCCAGCAAUCAAGGAGAGGAAACUUCAUGACUUGGCAGGUGGAACUCCUUGUUGUACUAUAAGUGUAUAAUACUGAUUGAUUAAUUAAAAGAAUCUAUGAAUUAGUGUCCUUUUAUUACUAACCACCAAAAAAAAAUUGCCCUAAAAUGGUGAUGGGUUUAUCUUAGCUUGGCUAGAUGAGGG